GUGGGUAACAGCUACUGGUCCUUUUUUUUUCCAGCAUAAAAUAUCCAGAAAUAUUUUCUUUUGUGUUCAGCAUAAGAAAGAAAUCCAAACAGGUUUAUACCAACUUUCAGGUAGGCUAUAAAAAUAAAUGAACUCACACAACAGAAGUCUACGGAAAUUCCCCGGCAGGUUAAAGCGGCGCGUGCGCGCAUGAGCCGCAGACUGACUUGACUCUGGGCUCCUCAGGAAAGAAAGUGUGUCCCUCAGAUCAGGAAGUAGAAAUCUGUGGUGUGAUCCGCGAGCGUCCGCCAAACUCAUCCAAACCAAAAGCAUCAGAGGCGGGCGCCGCUUUAGUCCACGGUUUACACUACAGGACAUAUCACGUAUUCAACAUGUGACAAACGAAUGGAUGGAUGUCAUGCAAUCUGUUCCUGAAGGGGCAUUUUAUGUAUCUUCGGUCCAUGAAGACGUCUUGCGAAUGACACUGCAGCUUUCAGCCUGAAAUAUGUCGUCGUACUGGUACGUCAAAGAGACUGCAGAUCCGGGCGGCAGCACCAGCAGCAUGGAGGAGCAAGCUGGCGUUCCAGAGAUGGGAGCCAAGCAGUCGGCGGUUGGCAGCGUUCCCUUGAGUCAUUCUCCCACUCUGAAGAACAUCCAAGAGGCCUAUACACAAGCCGAGGGCCAGAGG
RNAcentral lists this long non-coding RNA (667 nucleotides) under Sinocyclocheilus rhinocerous. RNAcentral's name for it is "lncRNA (ENSSRHG00000031575.1)". The record is from RNAcentral. Lineage: Eukaryota; Metazoa; Chordata; Actinopteri; Cypriniformes; Cyprinidae.